This 492-nucleotide ribosomal RNA is filed under the name uncultured bacterium. RNAcentral's name for it is "bacterial SSU rRNA". It matches the Rfam family "Bacterial small subunit ribosomal RNA", at positions 21 to 507 of the family's 1533-position model. The record is from RNAcentral.
GGCUCAGAUUGAACGCUGGCGGCAUGCCUUACACAUGCAAGUCGAACGGCAGCACGGACUUCGGUCUGGUGGCGAGUGGCGAACGGGUGAGUAAUGCAUCGGAACGUGCCAUUGAGUGGGGGAUAACGUAGCGAAAGUUGCGCUAAUACCGCAUAUUCUGUGAGCAGGAAAGCGGGGGACCGCAAGGCCUUGCGCUCUUUGAGCGGCCGAUGUCAGAUUAGCUAGUUGGUGAGGUAAAGGCUUACCAAGGCGACGAUCUGUAGCGGGGUCUGAGAGGAUGAUCCGCCACACUGGAACUGAGACACGGUCCAGACUCCUACGGGAGGCAGCAGUGGGGAAUUUUGGGCAAUGGGGGCAACCCUGAUCCAGCCAUGCCGCGUGAGUGAAGAAGGCCUUCGGGUUGUAAAGCUCUUUCGGCCGGGAAGAAAUCGCAUGGGCCAAUACCCUGUGUGGAUGACGGUACCGGAAUAAGAAGCACCGGCUAACUACGUG